CCUACGUGAGGCAGCAGUGGGGAAUAUUGCGCAAUGGGCGAAAGCCUGACGCAGCGACGCCGCGUGAGGGAUGAAGGUCUUCGGAUCGUAAACCUCUGUCAGCAGGGAAGAACGGUCACUGUGCUAAUCAGCAGUGAAUUGACGGUACCUGCACAGGAAGCACCGGCUAACUCCGUGCCAGCAGCCGCGGUAAUACGGAGGGUGCGAGCGUUAAUCGGAAUUACUGGGCGUAAAGCGCUCGUAGGCGGUAUGUCAAGUCAAGGGUGAAAUCCCCGCGCUCAACGUGGGAACUGCCUUUGAAACUGGCAAACUGGAGUGUGUGAGAGGAUAGUGGAAUUCCAGGUGUAGGAGUGAAAUCCGUAGAGAUCUGGAGGAACAUCAGUGGCGAAGGCGACUAUCUGGCACAUAACUGACGCUGAGGAGCGAAAGCGUGGGUAGCAAACAGGAUUAGAUACCCCAGUAGUC
Molecule: ribosomal RNA, 465 nt
Filed under: uncultured bacterium
Lineage: Bacteria
Description: partial 16S ribosomal RNA
Rfam family: Bacterial small subunit ribosomal RNA
Source: RNAcentral